GCCGGGCGUUGUGGCGGGCGCCUGUGGUCCCAGCUACUUGGGAGGCGGAGGCAGGAGACUCGCUUGAGCCCAGGAGUUGGAGGUUGCUGUGAGCUGUAAUGCCACGGCACUCUACCCUGGGGGACAGCUUGAGGCUCUGUUUCAAAAAAAAAAAAAAAAUGAGAGAGACUACUAAAUGGUAUCCUUUUUUUUUUGAGACAGAGCCUCAAGCUAUCGCCCUGGGUAGAGUACUGUGGCAUCACAGCUCACAGCAACCUCUAACCCCUGGGUUCACGCAAUUCUCCUGC
Molecule: non-coding RNA, 287 nt
Filed under: Otolemur garnettii (small-eared galago)
Lineage: Eukaryota; Metazoa; Chordata; Mammalia; Primates; Galagidae
Source: RNAcentral